RNAcentral lists this unclassified non-coding RNA (314 nucleotides) under plant metagenome. Its description in RNAcentral is "partial contains 5.8S ribosomal RNA, internal transcribed spacer 2, and large subunit ribosomal RNA". The stretch from base 1 to 105 matches the Rfam family "5.8S ribosomal RNA", at positions 50 to 154 of the family's 154-position model. The record is from RNAcentral.
GAAAUGCGAUAAUUAAUGUGAAUUGCAGAAUUCAGUGAAUCAUCGAGUCUUUGAACGCACAUUGCGCCCCCUGGUAUUCCGGGGGGCAUGCCUGUCCGAGCGUCAUUGCUGCCCUCAAGCACGGCUUGUGUGUUGGGCUUCCGUCCCUGGCAACGGGGACGGGCCCAAAAGGCAGUGGCGGCACCAUGUCUGGUCCUCGAGCGUAUGGGGCUUUGUCACCCGCUCCGGUAGGUCCAGCUGGCAGCUAGCCUCGCAACCAAUCUUUUUAACCAGGUUGACCUCGGAUCAGGUAGGGAUACCCGCUGAACUUAAGC